UUGUGCCACAUCUGGAUCCAUGCCAAUUUCUUCAUGCCUAAUUGGAUUUGGAUUGUAAUUUUUGGCAUCAUGAGCGAGGAUCCAAUAAGGGUAGUCGGCUAUAGAUGAUGAGUCAUAAGAUUAUCUCUUGCCUAAUUCGAAUGCGAUCCGAAUUAGAGUUAAGAUGCAGACUAGGAAAGAGAUUUUUUGUAUAUGAUAUAUUAUUGAAGUCAUAUUUUUUUUUAUUUUUUUUAGAAAUUCUUUGGUGUGUGAGACUC
RNAcentral lists this long non-coding RNA (257 nucleotides) under Elaeis guineensis (African oil palm). RNAcentral's name for it is "long non-coding RNA (EGUI_LNC064905)". Lineage: Eukaryota; Viridiplantae; Streptophyta; Magnoliopsida; Arecales; Arecaceae. The record is from RNAcentral.